UGAACUUAAGCAUAUCAAUAAGCGGAGGAAAAGAAACCAACAGGGAUUGCCCCAGUAACGGCGAGUGAAGCGGCAACAGCUCAAAUUUGAAAUCUGGCCCCUAGGGUCCGAGUUGUAAUUUGUAGAGGAUGCUUUUGGUGAGGUGCCGCCCGAGUUCCCUGGAACGGGACGCCACAGAGGGUGAGAGCCCCGUCUGGCUGGCCGCCGAGCCUCUGUAAAGCUCCUUCGACGAGUCGAGUAGUUUGGGAAUGCUGCUCAAAAUGGGAGGUAUAUGUCUUCUAAAGCUAAAUAUUGGCCAGAGACCGAUAGCGCACAAGUAGAGUGAUCGAAAGAUGAAAAGCACCUUGAAAAGAGGGUUAAAUAGUACGUGAAAUUGUUGAAAGGGAAGCGCUUGUGACCAGACUUGGGCGCGGCGGAUCAUCCGGGGUUCUCUCCGGUGCACUUCGCCGCGUCUAGGCCAGCAUCAGUUCGUCGCGGGGGAAAAAGGCUUCGGGAACGUGGCUCCUCCGGGAGUGUUAUAGCCCGUUGCAUAAUACCCUGCGGUGGACUGAGGACCGCGCAUCUGCAAGGAUGCUGGCGUAAUGGUCACCAGCGACCCGUCUUGAA
RNAcentral lists this ribosomal RNA (606 nucleotides) under Trichoderma amazonicum. Its description in RNAcentral is "eukaryotic LSU rRNA". It matches the Rfam family "Eukaryotic large subunit ribosomal RNA", at positions 29 to 658 of the family's 3401-position model. Lineage: Eukaryota; Fungi; Ascomycota; Sordariomycetes; Hypocreales; Hypocreaceae. The record is from RNAcentral.